This 305-nucleotide ribosomal RNA is filed under the name uncultured bacterium. RNAcentral describes it as "bacterial SSU rRNA". It matches the Rfam family "Bacterial small subunit ribosomal RNA", at positions 333 to 653 of the family's 1533-position model. The record is from RNAcentral.
UGUGCCUACGGGGCGCAGCAGUGGGGGAUAUUGGACAAUGGGGGAAACCCUGAUCCAGCGACGCCGCGUGAGUGAAGAAGUAUUUCGGUAUGUAAAGCUCUGUCAGCAGGGAAGAAAGAAAUGACGGUACCUGACCAAGAAGCCCCGGCUAACUACGUGCCAGCAGCCGCGGUAAUACGUAGGGGGCAAGCGUUAUCCGGAAUUACUGGGUGUAAAGGGAGCGUAGACGGCAGGGCAAGUCUGGAGUGAAAGGCAGGGGCCCAACCCCUGGACUGCUCUGGAAACUGUCCGGCUGGAGGGCAGGG